This 67-nucleotide transfer RNA is filed under the name Palaestes abruptus. RNAcentral's name for it is "tRNA-Ser". Lineage: Eukaryota; Metazoa; Arthropoda; Insecta; Coleoptera; Cucujidae. The record is from RNAcentral.
AGUUAAUGAACUUGUCUAAGUAUAUAUUUUGAAAAUAUAAAAAAGAAUUAAAAUUUUCUAUUAACUU